GCAAACCCCUUUGGUCUAUUCUCCUCUAACUUGUUCAAAUACUUUUCCAGUCCCUUUGCGUCCCAUACUAAUAUGUAAGAAGCCAAUACCUUGAGCGGUACUGUUUUGGGGAAGCGGAAAAUGGAAAAUCUACAAGGAAGAAUCCUCAACAAGCAACCCAAUUGUGAUCGUCGAACAAGAUGAUUCAUGCUCAUGUAGACAAAUUAUAAUACUCAAUAUUUUUUCUUAGUUACUAGGUUUAUAUAUGCUUUCGUAACACAGAAUGUUCUCUCAAACAAUCUUGCAACUAUUUAUAUCAAAAGAUAUGUUUUAGCCGUCA
Capsella rubella is the source of this 319-nucleotide long non-coding RNA. RefSeq lists it as uncharacterized. NCBI's taxonomy places the organism in Eukaryota, Viridiplantae, Streptophyta, Magnoliopsida, Brassicales, Brassicaceae. The transcript has 2 exons. The record is from RefSeq and is a predicted model, not a curated record.